CGCCGCGUGAGGGAUGACGGCCUUCGGGUUGUAAACCUCUUUCAGCACAGACGAAGCGAAAGUGACGGUAUGUGCAGAAGAAGGACCGGCCAACUACGUGCCAGCAGCCGCGGUAAUACGUAGGGUCCGAGCGUUGUCCGGAAUUAUUGGGCGUAAAGGGCUCGUAGGCGGUUUGUCACGUCGGGAGUGAAAACCAGGUGCUUAACACCUGGCCUGCUUCCGAUACGGGCUGGCUAGAGGUAUUCAGGGGAGACUGGAAUUCCUGGUGUAGCGGUGGAAUGCGCAGAUAUCAGGAGGAACACCGAUGGCGAAGGCAGGUCUCUGGGCAGUUACUGACGCUGAGGAGCGAAAGCAUGGGGAGCGAACAGGAUUAGAUACCCUGGUAGUCCAAGGG
This 394-nucleotide ribosomal RNA is filed under the name uncultured bacterium. RNAcentral describes it as "bacterial SSU rRNA". It matches the Rfam family "Bacterial small subunit ribosomal RNA", at positions 395 to 801 of the family's 1533-position model. The record is from RNAcentral.